CGAAGGGAGCUAGCGUUGUUCGGAAUUACUGGGCGUAAAGGGCGUGUAGGCGGCUUCGAUAGUUGGGCGUGAAAUGCCUGGGCUCAACCCAGGAAUUGCGCUCAAUACUGUGAGGCUCGAGUGUGGGAGAGGAUAGUGGAAUUCCCAGUGUAGAGGUGAAAUUCGUAGAUAUUGGGAAGAACACCAGCGGCGAAGGCGGCUAUCUGGACCACAACUGACGCUGAGGCGCGAAAGCGUGGGGAGCAAACAGGAUUAGAUACCCUGGUAGUCCACGCCGUAAACUAUGUGUGCUUGACGUCGGAGGGCAUAGCCCGCCGGUGUCGCAGCUAACGCGGUAAGCACACCGCCUGGGGAGUACGGUCGCAAGAUUA
Molecule: ribosomal RNA, 371 nt
Filed under: uncultured organism
Description: bacterial SSU rRNA
Rfam family: Bacterial small subunit ribosomal RNA
Source: RNAcentral